AUGUACUCAGAGCCAGUGGGGAGGGAACUACUGAGCCAGGGCAGGGUCACUAUCAUGAGUAGGCUCAAAUUUUUUUUUUUUUUUGUCUUUUUAUGGCUGCACCUGCGGAAGCAGGCUCUGACCUCCCUUGGGAGGAGGACAGCAAAGACACAUGAGAUUGUGACAGCCCAUCUCAAGAUCCCCCUCCUCGGAGUUCCCGCUGUGGCUCAGUGGUUAAGGAAUUCGACUAGGAACUCCCACGCCAGAUUUCUUGACCUCUUGGCCCUUGUCCCACUAUUGUUCUGUCACAAUCAGACUGAGGCGGGGGCAGAUAAGGGUUAGGAACUUCAAGUGGGGAGCCCAGAAUCUGAAUCUCCAUUCUGCUCCUAACCCUACUGUGACCUGGAGCAGGAAGCACCUGCUUGCUGGGUCCAGUUUCCUCACCCGCUCCUGGAACUUUUGGGAGGGGCCCUGCAGGGUCUAACACCCUCUCAGCACCUUCUCAUCCUCUCUGGGCAGGUGUGAGAUUGCACUGGUAGCCAGGCACCCUGCCUCCGCCAUUUCACAAGCAGCCUGAGAACUGCCAGUGCCCCACCAUGUCGAGUUCAGCCCCAGAAGCCAUCUGUUCCAGGCACUGGGCUCCACCCUACCCAGUACACUGACUGCACGCACCAGCCCCUUCCGCCGCACGAGGUCAAGCCCACUGCCUCAUGUCUCGUGCACACACACGUCUUCACAUAUGCACACCCACUCUGUGCAUUCCUAGUUAUAGCACCUGUUCGCUCGCUCACAAACUCCACAUUCGCCCGUCCACCCGCCUCGCUCGUGCCCACGCGGUUCCCCCGCUCAGCGUCGGCUGCGCUGGAGCCCCAGUCGGUUGCCGAAGAGGGUGGGGCACCCGCGGCCGGCCGCGCUCCACCCACUCUCGGCCCCGCCCUUUCCCCACCUCCUGCCUGGACCCUGGCCCGCCCAUAUCCGCGCCCAGCCCCGCCUCCUGCCUGGGCCCCGCCUCCCGCCUGGGCUGGCCCAGAGGAUGUGAGCUCACUCCCGCCUCCCGGCUCGCAGCGCCGUCAGGAAGCGUCCGCCCGCGGUGGCCGCCAGCUCGUUGCCAACGGGCCGGCCGGAGUCGCCCGUCCCGCCCUUCCCGGCGCCACACGCAGUAGCUGCUUUCCAAAUGGGUACGCAGUGAAGGCGGGCGGCCGCGGGGCCCAGGCAGCGCCGGGCUCCGAGACACUUCGUCCUCCGGGCCCGGCGGGUCGCCAGGAGACCGCCGGCGCGCACGCCACGCCCAUC
Molecule: long non-coding RNA, 1272 nt
Filed under: Sus scrofa (pig)
Lineage: Eukaryota; Metazoa; Chordata; Mammalia; Artiodactyla; Suidae
Description: lncRNA (ENSSSCG00030031608.1)
Source: RNAcentral